AUUGAACGCUGGCGGCAGGCCUAACACAUGCAAGUCGGGCGGUAACAGGGGAAGCUUGCUUCCCGCUGACGAGCGGCGGACGGGUGAGUAAUGCAUAGGAAUCUGCCUGAUAGUGGGGGAUAGCCCAGAGAAAUUUGGAUUAAUACCCGCAUACGCCUACGGGGAAAGGACGUGGGACGUCCUCGGAGCCGUAGCGCUAUCAGAUGAGCCUAUGUCGGAUUAGCUAGUUGGUGGAGGUAACGGCUCACCAAGGCGACGAUCCGUAGCUGGUCUGAGAGGAUGAUCAGCCACACUGGGACUGAGACACGGCCCCAGACUCCUACGGGAGGCAGCAGUGGGGAAUAUUGGACAAUGGCGCAAGCCUGACCCAGCCAUGCCGCGUGUGUGAAGAAGGCCUUCGGUUG
This 404-nucleotide ribosomal RNA is filed under the name uncultured bacterium. RNAcentral's name for it is "bacterial SSU rRNA". It matches the Rfam family "Bacterial small subunit ribosomal RNA", at positions 30 to 425 of the family's 1533-position model. The record is from RNAcentral.